UGGGGAAUUUUCCGCAAUGGGCGAAAGCCUGACGGAGCAAUACCGCGUGAGGGAGGAAGGCUUUUGGGUUGUAAACCUCUUUUAAUAAGGAAGAAGAAGUGACGGUACUUAUUGAAUCAGCAUCGGCUAACUCCGUGCCAGCAGCCGCGGUAAUACGGAGGAUGCAAGCGUUAUCCGGAAUCAUUGGGCGUAAAGCGUCCGCAGGUGGCAAGUCAAGUCUGCUGUUAAAGACAGAAGCUCAACUUCUGAUCGGCAGUGGAAACUGGUUUGCUUGAGUAUGGUAGGGGUUGAGGGAAUUCCCAGUGUAGCGGUGAAAUGCGUAGAGAUUGGGAAGAACACCAGUGGCGAAGGCGCUCAACUGGGCCAUAACUGACACUCAGGGACGAAAGCUAGGGUAGCGAAAGGGAUUAGAUACCCCCGUAGUCC
RNAcentral lists this ribosomal RNA (426 nucleotides) under uncultured prokaryote. RNAcentral describes it as "bacterial SSU rRNA". It matches the Rfam family "Bacterial small subunit ribosomal RNA", at positions 355 to 796 of the family's 1533-position model. The record is from RNAcentral.